UACGUAGGUGACAAGCGUUGUCCGGAUUUACUGGGCGUAAAGGGCGCGUAGGCGGCCGAUCAAGUCAGAUGUGAAAGUCCUGGGCUUAACCUGGGGACUGCAUUUGAUACUGAUUGGCUUGAAUUCGGGAGAGGAUAGCGGAAUUCCCAGUGUAGAGGUGAAAUUCGUAGAUAUUGGGAAGAACACCGGUGGCGAAGGCGGCUAUCUGGACCGACAUUGACGCUGAGGCGCGAAAGCGUGGGGAGCAAACAGG
Molecule: ribosomal RNA, 253 nt
Filed under: uncultured bacterium
Lineage: Bacteria
Description: partial 16S ribosomal RNA
Rfam family: Bacterial small subunit ribosomal RNA
Source: RNAcentral